GCCCCCGUAGCUUAAUUGGAUAGAGCAGGUCCUUGCGGAGGACAAGGUUGCCCGUUCAAGUCGGGCCAGGGGCA
Molecule: transfer RNA, 74 nt
Filed under: Candidatus Shapirobacteria bacterium CG09_land_8_20_14_0_10_39_12
Lineage: Bacteria; Candidatus Shapironibacteriota
Description: tRNA-Arg
Source: RNAcentral